Molecule: unclassified non-coding RNA, 236 nt
Filed under: Hevea brasiliensis (rubber tree)
Lineage: Eukaryota; Viridiplantae; Streptophyta; Magnoliopsida; Malpighiales; Euphorbiaceae
Source: RNAcentral
UUACCCCAACUCAAUGACAAGUAUAUAUUUGCCAAAAAAAAAAUUGACAAGUAUAUUGCCUUUAUAAAGGAAGCCUUAUCCCUUCGUAUGCAAGUGAGGUGAGCACAGACAGAUGAAGCAAUUGUUAGAUAUUCGGGAAAAUUACAGGCAACCAUAUUUGUCCUUUUCUGCAAAUUCACGUGAAUUUCAGGCUUGGCAAAUGCGUUCUACUACCCCUAGGGGUUGUAGAGCCUGAG